Mytilus californianus (California mussel) is the source of this 2690-nucleotide long non-coding RNA. RefSeq lists it as uncharacterized. The transcript has 5 exons. NCBI's taxonomy places the organism in Eukaryota, Metazoa, Mollusca, Bivalvia, Mytilida, Mytilidae. The record is from RefSeq and is a predicted model, not a curated record.
UGAUAGAUUAGAACCGGAUGCAUUCUUAGGUUUGGCAAUUGAAGCGGAUAGCAUGCAGGAUCUGUUGGUUUCUGAAAUAUAGUUUCAAAUUGAAUUAUUAGUAUCGUUAUAGGCAUGUCCAUUCAUGUGCAGGUUGUGUUAUUGAUGGUGAUUCCAGAACUGGUACUGUGUGAUUAUUGUAACUUGGCUCUUUACAAACCAACCACAGCGAAUUGUUAUGACACAAGUCACCCGUGUCAUGCUGUCGAUGGUGACAACAAUCAGACGUUUUUUUCCUGUAAGUCUGACCAUCCUUGGUGGCAAGUGGAUAUUGGGAUGUCACGCAAAAUAGACUCCAUUGAAAUUUCCUUCUUGCCAGGAGAGACUACAGACGAUAUAAGUAUAACAACAUUUGAUGAUAUUCUACCAGGCGGAGACAUUGUCAACAUCACAAAAUGUGGAGUGGAUACUAAAAUCCUUUCUUUGACUCUCUGCAAAGAAAGCUUGAAAGGACGAUACGUCCGGAUUUCGAAAAAAGUUUUAUCCGGUACUAUCAAAUUACAAGAAGUAGAAGUAUAUGGAAACGUUGAUGGGCCAUGUCCAAUGAUCACAGAAAAGUGGAUAUGUGACGACAUAUGCGUGGCUCCAGAAGGGGCAACUGGUGACCAAGUCUGUAGUAAUUGUAAGUGUCCGUGUACAACUAUUGGAGAGGAGGCAAACCACAUACUUACUGAAGAGGAACUUCAACAGAAAAUUGAUCAACUUGUUAAUGAAAUCAGUAUAGAUAAGAAAAAUACAGCUGUCUCCAAAAGAAAGCUGAUAAGUGCACCGGAUAGUAGGAAGUCGGCUAUGGCAGUAGGGUCGACUGGUAUCGUCAUACUGGCAUUGUUACUACUAGGGAUUAUUGCAAUGGAUGCUAGCAGACUAGUCUGUCUUGUCCACUUGACAAGACGGUUUUGUAACAAAUACAAGAACUAGAUACAUUUUUGUAAUAGAAGUUUGACAUGUAGUACUAUUAACCAUUUUCAUAAAGUCACUACGAAGUUCCAAAAUUCCGUCGCUUUGGUAUUUUGUUUUUGGUUUUGUUUUACGUUUAAUUGUUUAUCUAUUUGUUAUUAUUUGUUGUUACUUGAUAGAUUUGAAUUACUGAACUUUAAAAGCACGCUUGUCUUCCUGUAAUGCCUAUACAUGCAACACUAUAAUCAGUUUAUUGGAUCGACAAAAAGGCUUCGAGAGUUCUAUAUUUUCAUACAAAUAGUCCCGUCAUAGUUGGAAGAACAUAAACCUUUGUAUUCAUCAGCAAUAGUGUGUAAAGACUUAAACCUUUUUAUUAAUCAGCAAUAGUGUGUAAAGACUUGAUUAAACCUAUGUAUUCAUCAGCAAUAGUGUGUAAAAUAAAUCGUAUGAAAGAGCUUUCUGUCAUCCCCGUUUCUUUGUUUGAACCCUGAUUUCAAUUUGUUUUGGGUCCGCCUCCGCCUUUUGCAUUGUUGAGGACUUUAAAGCAACUAGACUGUUGUUCACUAUUUUUUUGGGGGAAAUCUUUUGGCUGAAGUUUUUCUUUGUUUUGUUCCUCCUUUUGGUAGGUUUUUUGAGGUAUGCGGUAAAAUCAAACACAACAUAUGUAACGGAAUAUAAAUAAUUUUCUUAAGAAAAUUACAAAAAUAGGAUUAUUUGGGGAACAUCUCUUUUUUAACUACAGGUUGUUUUGUUUUUGGUUUUCUGCGUCUAUAUGAUGAGUCAAGUCUUUUUUAAACUGAUUUUUAUAGUUUGUCCUCAUGUUGUGCUGUUCCACCACUGUCCCAGGUUGGGGGACGAUUAAGUGCUCGUAAACAUGUUUAUCUCCACGCAUUCUAUAUGUGCAUGUCUAAAGAAGCCUGGUCGCUGAAUAUCGUAUUUGUGUAUCGAUUAUUGUUCUGUCAUACAUGUUGGUUUUCUCGUUUGAAUUGUUUUACACUUUAUGCUUUAUGGGGCCUAUAAUCACUAAUAUCCACGCCAUUUGAUCUCAUUGACAACAACCCCACAUCCUCUUAUUUUAUAUUAGUCAUAUGAAUGUCCUCAAUAAUUAAUUGGUUAAAAUAAGAAUCAUUCUGACGUGUAGUUUACAUGCUAGAUAAUAUUUGAACAAAAACAAUUUUGGUGUCAAACUGUAUAAAUAUGUUUAAGUGAACAUGGAUGUGUUUUCAUUUGUUUGUGUGUGUCUGUGUAUGUGUGUGCUUUAUACUUCUUCCUUGUUGGUCGAUAGGUCUUGAAAAUUUGAUUUGAUGCAAACAACCUUAAUUAACAGACACGAACUUUUAUGUAUCAUGUUAAGUCAAUUAGAUAAAUUAUAUAUAUAAAUUUAAAAAAAAACACUUCGGAAGCUGUACUGAAGAGUAUAUAUAAUUCAAUGUUUCACUAAGUAGUAAAUAAAUUUUAAAACUACUUAAAAGAUCAAAAGCUCAUUAUAUUAUGUAAAGUGUUUUUAUGAGACUACAAGUAAUCGAAGAGUUCUGUAGUUGACAAAAAAUGAAGUUUGGAUAUUUCUGAAAUUCAUAUUAAUAUUAUUCCCGUUUAGUUUAGAAAUUAGUCAACAUUUCAAUAUAGUAUACAUAAAAUGUCAACAGUGCACUGGCCUUUUGAGUCGGAUGUAAUUAUAAAUUACAUUUUCCGUUAUGAAAAUGAAAUUUUACCAACAUAUGUAUUUUAUUCUAUUAAAAUGGCAGACGAUCAUA